AAUCCCAAUAAACUCUUACUUCAUAUAAUUUCGAUAAUAAGGUUCGAAAGUCUCUACCUAAUCACCGUAAAUGAUUGGACUAUGAAGGCAGUUAGUAUUAUA
RNAcentral lists this non-coding RNA (102 nucleotides) under Heyndrickxia ginsengihumi. RNAcentral describes it as "Bacillus ginsengihumi Guanine sequence". It matches the Rfam family "Purine riboswitch aptamer". Rfam says of the family: Riboswitches are metabolite binding domains within certain messenger RNAs that serve as precision sensors for their corresponding targets. Allosteric rearrangement of mRNA structure is mediated by ligand binding, and this results in modulation of gene expression. Lineage: Bacteria; Bacillati; Bacillota; Bacilli; Caryophanales; Bacillaceae. The record is from Rfam by way of RNAcentral.